This 1716-nucleotide long non-coding RNA is filed under the name Linum usitatissimum (flax). RNAcentral's name for it is "long non-coding RNA (LUSI_LNC005856)". Lineage: Eukaryota; Viridiplantae; Streptophyta; Magnoliopsida; Malpighiales; Linaceae. The record is from RNAcentral.
GUCUCUCAAAAUGCUUGGUGCGAUCAUGUAGAACUGGAUUAGCCGCAAUCUGAAUCGUACUAGUAUUAUCACCAUAUAGAUGCACCAGAGUAUGAACUGUAACACAAAGGUCAGCGAGAAGACGGAUGAGCCAGACAAUCUCAUAGCACACUUCAGACAUGGAGCGAUCAAAUGCCCCGAUAUACUUUAUCCUGCUUCUGGAAGACCCUAGACUUCUAUCAUUUAUUAAAUGACUCAAAUGCUCCACAUCCUUCGCUGUUUACUCACUCCGAGGAUUCUGACAUGUUGGACAUCAACUGCAUCUCUUGCAAGGUAUAUAUGCUCUGGUAUCUCUAGUAUGACCUAGUUAGUGGCUCGAGGUCAGUCUUUAUGCUCAAAUCUUAUUUUUAUUAGGAUAGGAAUAAAGUACAAUAUGGUUAAGAAAUAUCUUAGUUCUUAGUAAUUCGUAUGAAACCAUUCUUACUCUUAAUCUUAACCUUAUCUAAGGUAAUUUAUUCAUAUAGGGCGUCCCUGUCUCAACUAACUAGCCCUACUGUCCAUUCAUAAGAUUCCUAAAUGUCCCGGAGCACGUAUCCAUCGUACAAUAAUUCAUAAGGGCAAAACCAGCCCGAUUCAUAAAUCAUAAGGGCAACACCGGCCCAAUUCAUAAUUUGUAGAGGCGGGGUCUAGCUGGUGAGGUUCAUAUUCUUAUUCCACCUAGUAAUGCUCUAAGUGAGAUUCGUAUAACUAAUGUUCUUAAAUUCAUAAAAUAAAUACUGUAAUGUAAUUCGUAACAUAAUUUAAAAUAAUAACAUUAAGAAGUUAUCCCAUAAACCACCCACCUGAUAAAGAAAUGGUGAGGGUCGAAUCCGAGAAAUGAAGAUUGAAACUAGAAUGCUUGAUCGUCUUUAAGAACCUAAAACGUCCAUCACGUACACCACGAACUCGUCAUCAUUGUCUGCCUCGAAACCCAGGUGACUUUUAAAUUGUCUCUAUGUCCAACCUGUUCAACACUCUCUCGGGUCGAUGAUCCGACGACCAUUCGAUCGUCCGAAAUGAAUCAUCAGCGAGAUUGAAUGCGAUGACGAAAUCCUCCAUUCCCUCUCUAGCUCAGAUCCAGUAUAAAUGGCCGCUUGCAGCAACAUGAUGGUCGUAAUUGGCUGGUGGGAUAUAUGCAUCUGUUAACACCUUCCAAGACCAACUCUUCCAAGAGAAAACAACAGCUUUUACUUUCAACCCGUCCCAUAUCUCUUGAUCUUCGCUCUCCCAGUUGUUGUAAAACAUAUUCCAGAACAUCAUGUUACUGUUGCUGAAUUGUAUACAAAUCAAGCCAUUGCAAGAACCAAUUAUUGAUCUAGAAUAGCCCAAUUCCUUGACGGGCACCUCCAAAUCAGUGUGAAGUGUAGUAAAGUUGGUGUCGAAGACUGCGAUUUUGAGCUGAUCCAGUGACAAGCCGUGUUGGACUAUUAGGUGAUGGUUGUUGGAGGAAGAGCGACGGAGGUGGGCGGGGAAGGGUUGACCAGUGUUUCGAAACGGACUUGAACUGAAGAAUCAAUUUCACGGUAAUCGGCUGAGGAUGUCGAUCACAAUGUCUACUCAAGGAAAUUUCAUACUAGUUGCAGAAGGCAUCAUUGACUCCUUAGUGUUUGUGUUCAUUUGGAAGGCGACUACUGUGUGUCUUGUGUUAUGUUUGUUUGUUCGCUUUACCCUCGUAGUUAUCAUACUAGAGUACUAUCC